This 253-nucleotide ribosomal RNA is filed under the name uncultured bacterium. RNAcentral describes it as "partial 16S ribosomal RNA". It matches the Rfam family "Bacterial small subunit ribosomal RNA", at positions 524 to 776 of the family's 1533-position model. The record is from RNAcentral.
UACGUAGGGGGCAAGCGUUGUCCGGAUUUAUUGGGCGUAAAGCGCGUGUAGGUGGCCAAGUAGGUCCGCUGUGAAAACUCGAGGCUUAACCUCGAGAUGUCAUCGGAAACUAUUUGGCUAGAGUCCGGAAGAGGAGAGUGGAAUUCCUGGUGUAGCGGUGAAAUGCGCAGAUAUCAGGAAGAACACCAAUGGCGAAAGCAGCUCUCUGGGACGGUACUGACGCUGAGACGCGAAAGCGUGGGGAGCGAACAGG